CUCCUGGAAACGGGUGGUAAUGCCGGAUGUUCCGCCUGAUCGCAUGGUCUUCCGGGAAAGCUUUCGCGGUAUGGGAUGGGGUCGCGUCCUAUCAGCUUGAUGGCGGGGUAACGGCCCACCGUGGCUUCGACGGGUAGCCGGCCUGAGAGGGCGACCGGCCACAUUGGGACUGAGGUACGGCCCAGACUCCUACGGGAGGCAGCAGUGGGGAAUAUUGCACAAUGGGGGCAAGCCUGAUGCAGCGACGCCGCGUGAGGGAUGGAGGCCUUCGGGUUGUGAACCUCUUUUAUCGGGGAGCAAGCGUGAGUGAGUGUACCCGUUGAAUAAGCACCGGCUAACUACGUGCCAGCAGCCGCGGUAAUACGUAGGGUGCAAGCGUUGUCCGGAAUUAUUGGGCGUAAAGGGCUCGUAGGCGGUUCGUCGCGUCCGGUGUGAAAGUCCAUCGCUUAACGGUGGAUCCGCGCCGGGUACGGGCGGGCUUGAGUGCGGUAGGGGAGACUGGAAUUCCCGGUGUAACGGUGGAAUGUGUAGAUAUCGGGAAGAACACC
RNAcentral lists this ribosomal RNA (548 nucleotides) under uncultured Bifidobacterium sp. RNAcentral's name for it is "bacterial SSU rRNA". It matches the Rfam family "Bacterial small subunit ribosomal RNA", at positions 147 to 710 of the family's 1533-position model. The record is from RNAcentral. Lineage: Bacteria; Bacillati; Actinomycetota; Actinomycetes; Bifidobacteriales; Bifidobacteriaceae.